UACGUAGGCAGCAAGCGUUGUUCGGAAUUACUGGGCGUAAAGAGUGUGUAGGCGGUGUUCUAAGUCUGUUGUGAAAUCUCCCGGCUUAACUGGGAGGUGCGGCGGAAACUGGAAUGCUAGAGGAUGGGAGAGGUAAGCGGAAUUCCUGGUGUAGCGGUGAAAUGCGUAGAUAUCAGGAGGAACACCGGUGGCGAAGGCGGAUCUCUGGGCCGUAACUGACGCUGAGGAGCGAAAGCAUGGGGAGCGAACAGG
Molecule: ribosomal RNA, 252 nt
Filed under: uncultured bacterium
Lineage: Bacteria
Description: partial 16S ribosomal RNA
Rfam family: Bacterial small subunit ribosomal RNA
Source: RNAcentral